UACGUAGGGGGCGAGCGUUGUCCGGAUUUAUUGGGCGUAAAAGGCUUGUAGGCGGCCACCGCGCGUCGUGCGUGAAAUCUCCCGGCUUAACUGGGAGGGGUCGUGCGAUACGGUCGGACUCGAGGCCAGUAGGGGGACGCGGAAUUCCGGGUGUAGUGGUGGAAUGCGUAGAGAUCCGGAGGAACACCAGCGGCGAAGGCGGAUCUCUGGGCCUUACCUGACGCUGAGGCGCGAAAGCUAGGGGAGCGAACAGG
Molecule: ribosomal RNA, 254 nt
Filed under: uncultured bacterium
Lineage: Bacteria
Description: partial 16S ribosomal RNA
Rfam family: Bacterial small subunit ribosomal RNA
Source: RNAcentral